AUUGAACGCUGGCGGCAGGCCUAACACAUGCAAGUCGAACGGUAACAGGAAACUGCUUGCUGUUUCGCUGACGAGUGGCGGACGGGUGAGUAAUGUCUGGGAAACGGCCUGAUGGAGGGGGCUAACUACUGGAAACGGUAGCUAAUACCGCAUAACGUCGCAAAACCAAAGAGGGGGACCUUCGGGCCUCUUGCCAUCGCCUGUGCCCAGAUGGGAUUAGCUAGUAGGUGGGGUAACGGCUCACCUAGGCGACGAUCCCUAGCUGGUCUGCGAGGAUGACCAGCCACACUGGAACUGAGACACGGUCCAGACUCCUACGGGAGGCAGCAGUGGGGAAUAUUGCACAAUGGGCGCAAGCCUGAUGCAGCCAUGCCGCGUGUAUGAAGAAGGCCUUCGGGUUGUAAAGUACUUUCAGCGGGGAGGAAGGGAGUAAAGUUAAUACCUUGGCGCAUUGACGUUACCCGCAGAAGAAGCACCGGCUAACUACGUG
Molecule: ribosomal RNA, 490 nt
Filed under: uncultured bacterium
Lineage: Bacteria
Description: partial 16S ribosomal RNA
Rfam family: Bacterial small subunit ribosomal RNA
Source: RNAcentral